RNAcentral lists this small RNA (31 nucleotides) under Bombyx mori (domestic silkworm). RNAcentral describes it as "ovarian small RNA-7156". Lineage: Eukaryota; Metazoa; Arthropoda; Insecta; Lepidoptera; Bombycidae. The record is from RNAcentral.
UCCACCCAACGGGGGUAAGAAAUGGGUCCUA